Long non-coding RNA from Lynx canadensis (Canada lynx), 78 nucleotides. RefSeq lists it as uncharacterized. The transcript is spliced from 3 exons. Lineage: Eukaryota; Metazoa; Chordata; Mammalia; Carnivora; Felidae. The record is from RefSeq and is a predicted model, not a curated record.
UUUUGCUCAUUUUUUAAUUGGGUCGUAUUGUCUUAUUGUUGUGUUUUAAGAGUUGUUUGUAUAUUUUGGACACCAGUU